This 2905-nucleotide ribosomal RNA is filed under the name Escherichia coli. RNAcentral describes it as "23S ribosomal RNA". It matches the Rfam family "Bacterial large subunit ribosomal RNA". Lineage: Bacteria; Pseudomonadati; Pseudomonadota; Gammaproteobacteria; Enterobacterales; Enterobacteriaceae. The record is from RNAcentral. RNAcentral also lists the same sequence under 1 other name.
GGUUAAGCGACUAAGCGUACACGGUGGAUGCCCUGGCAGUCAGAGGCGAUGAAGGACGUGCUAAUCUGCGAUAAGCGUCGGUAAGGUGAUAUGAACCGUUAUAACCGGCGAUUUCCGAAUGGGGAAACCCAGUGUGUUUCGACACACUAUCAUUAACUGAAUCCAUAGGUUAAUGAGGCGAACCGGGGGAACUGAAACAUCUAAGUACCCCGAGGAAAAGAAAUCAACCGAGAUUCCCCCAGUAGCGGCGAGCGAACGGGGAGCAGCCCAGAGCCUGAAUCAGUGUGUGUGUUAGUGGAAGCGUCUGGAAAGGCGCGCGAUACAGGGUGACAGCCCCGUACACAAAAAUGCACAUACUGUGAGCUCGAUGAGUAGGGCGGGACACGUGGUAUCCUGUCUGAAUAUGGGGGGACCAUCCUCCAAGGCUAAAUACUCCUGACUGACCGAUAGUGAACCAGUACCGUGAGGGAAAGGCGAAAAGAACCCCGGCGAGGGGAGUGAAAAAGAACCUGAAACCGUGUACGUACAAGCAGUGGGAGCACGCUUCGGCGUGUGACUGCGUACCUUUUGUAUAAUGGGUCAGCGACUUAUAUUCUGUAGCAAGGUUAACCGAAUAGGGGAGCCGAAGGGAAACCGAGUCUUAACUGGGCGUUAAGUUGCAGGGUAUAGACCCGAAACCCGGUGAUCUAGCCAUGGGCAGGUUGAAGGUUGGGUAACACUAACUGGAGGACCGAACCGACUAAUGUUGAAAAAUUAGCGGAUGACUUGUGGCUGGGGGUGAAAGGCCAAUCAAACCGGGAGAUAGCUGGUUCUCCCCGAAAGCUAUUUAGGUAGCGCCUCGUGAAUUCAUCUCCGGGGGUAGAGCACUGUUUCGGCAAGGGGGUCAUCCCGACUUACCAACCCGAUGCAAACUGCGAAUACCGGAGAAUGUUAUCACGGGAGACACACGGCGGGUGCUAACGUCCGUCGUGAAGAGGGAAACAACCCAGACCGCCAGCUAAGGUCCCAAAGUCAUGGUUAAGUGGGAAACGAUGUGGGAAGGCCCAGACAGCCAGGAUGUUGGCUUAGAAGCAGCCAUCAUUUAAAGAAAGCGUAAUAGCUCACUGGUCGAGUCGGCCUGCGCGGAAGAUGUAACGGGGCUAAACCAUGCACCGAAGCUGCGGCAGCGACACUAUGUGUUGUUGGGUAGGGGAGCGUUCUGUAAGCCUGUGAAGGUGUACUGUGAGGUAUGCUGGAGGUAUCAGAAGUGCGAAUGCUGACAUAAGUAACGAUAAAGCGGGUGAAAAGCCCGCUCGCCGGAAGACCAAGGGUUCCUGUCCAACGUUAAUCGGGGCAGGGUGAGUCGACCCCUAAGGCGAGGCCGAAAGGCGUAGUCGAUGGGAAACAGGUUAAUAUUCCUGUACUUGGUGUUACUGCGAAGGGGGGACGGAGAAGGCUAUGUUGGCCGGGCGACGGUUGUCCCGGUUUAAGCGUGUAGGCUGGUUUUCCAGGCAAAUCCGGAAAAUCAAGGCUGAGGCGUGAUGACGAGGCACUACGGUGCUGAAGCAACAAAUGCCCUGCUUCCAGGAAAAGCCUCUAAGCAUCAGGUAACAUCAAAUCGUACCCCAAACCGACACAGGUGGUCAGGUAGAGAAUACCAAGGCGCUUGAGAGAACUCGGGUGAAGGAACUAGGCAAAAUGGUGCCGUAACUUCGGGAGAAGGCACGCUGAUAUGUAGGUGAAGUCCCUCGCGGAUGGAGCUGAAAUCAGUCGAAGAUACCAGCUGGCUGCAACUGUUUAUUAAAAACACAGCACUGUGCAAACACGAAAGUGGACGUAUACGGUGUGACGCCUGCCCGGUGCCGGAAGGUUAAUUGAUGGGGUUAGCGGUAACGCGAAGCUCUUGAUCGAAGCCCCGGUAAACGGCGGCCGUAACUAUAACGGUCCUAAGGUAGCGAAAUUCCUUGUCGGGUAAGUUCCGACCUGCACGAAUGGCGUAAUGAUGGCCAGGCUGUCUCCACCCGAGACUCAGUGAAAUUGAACUCGCUGUGAAGAUGCAGUGUACCCGCGGCAAGACGGAAAGACCCCGUGAACCUUUACUAUAGCUUGACACUGAACAUUGAGCCUUGAUGUGUAGGAUAGGUGGGAGGCUUUGAAGUGUGGACGCCAGUCUGCAUGGAGCCGACCUUGAAAUACCACCCUUUAAUGUUUGAUGUUCUAACGUUGACCCGUAAUCCGGGUUGCGGACAGUGUCUGGUGGGUAGUUUGACUGGGGCGGUCUCCUCCUAAAGAGUAACGGAGGAGCACGAAGGUUGGCUAAUCCUGGUCGGACAUCAGGAGGUUAGUGCAAUGGCAUAAGCCAGCUUGACUGCGAGCGUGACGGCGCGAGCAGGUGCGAAAGCAGGUCAUAGUGAUCCGGUGGUUCUGAAUGGAAGGGCCAUCGCUCAACGGAUAAAAGGUACUCCGGGGAUAACAGGCUGAUACCGCCCAAGAGUUCAUAUCGACGGCGGUGUUUGGCACCUCGAUGUCGGCUCAUCACAUCCUGGGGCUGAAGUAGGUCCCAAGGGUAUGGCUGUUCGCCAUUUAAAGUGGUACGCGAGCUGGGUUUAGAACGUCGUGAGACAGUUCGGUCCCUAUCUGCCGUGGGCGCUGGAGAACUGAGGGGGGCUGCUCCUAGUACGAGAGGACCGGAGUGGACGCAUCACUGGUGUUCGGGUUGUCAUGCCAAUGGCACUGCCCGGUAGCUAAAUGCGGAAGAGAUAAGUGCUGAAAGCAUCUAAGCACGAAACUUGCCCCGAGAUGAGUUCUCCCUGACUCCUUGAGAGUCCUGAAGGAACGUUGAAGACGACGACGUUGAUAGGCCGGGUGUGUAAGCGCAGCGAUGCGUUGAGCUAACCGGUACUAAUGAACCGUGAGGCUUAACCUU